Molecule: long non-coding RNA, 3946 nt
Organism: Xiphophorus hellerii (green swordtail)
Lineage: Eukaryota; Metazoa; Chordata; Actinopteri; Cyprinodontiformes; Poeciliidae
Exons: 4
Source: RefSeq, a predicted model, not a curated record
GUCUCACUCCUAAAAUGUAAAAUGCAAUCAGAGCUAAGUCCCUUUUUCCACCCUGCUGUCUGUGAUUGCUCUUUCUAAGAACAGAUUUUUUUCCUUACCUUUGUUGAUACACAGCUAGGAGAGAAAUGCUGUUGAAGUACCAAGGUGCUAGAUCUGCAUGUACCAACAAAAAUAUGAAGAGAGAUUUUCUAAAGAAAGAACUAAGUGCUCAAAAAGCUUUAAUCACAACAACACAGGGUGCAAUCUUCUGAUCACAGACUUUAUGCGGUAUUAAAAAAAUAACACUUACAUAAUGAUAUAUGGAAUGAACAUGACACGUAAAAAGAUAAAACGGAAGAAAAAAGAUUUAGGACAUCACUAGAUGAUUUUUAUCAUAUGAACAUCUUCUUAAUCAGUGCAUGUGUAGAUAAUGUGAAUAUAAUAUCAGCUACCUUAAACACCAGUGUGACAAGCCUGAUUCCAUCUAUUAUUUCUUCUUUUGUGUGGGAGGCUCACAGUGCUUUCAUAGUGUCUUCAUCACUCUCUUUUAAAACUAACCUCACCAGGAGCGCCAUCACUACACGCUGCCUUUAAACGUUUGCAGUUCUGCACAAAGUUUGGAUACUUCUCAACAUUGGUUAUCACUGUAACUAUAAAAAUGUGUUGCUGAUGAUAAUUACCAUUUGCUAUAAUGGUGUGUUUAUUUAGGAGAUUUUAGGAUUCCGCAGCUUCCAAAAACUGACACGUUGGAUCACUUUUAUUUAAUUUAUUUUAUUUUUUUUGUAUCAAAAUUAGCAGUAAUAAGACAAACUGUAUACUGUUUUUCAGUUCUCAAAUAUGGUCAAUAAACUUAAUAAUAUAGUAAUGUUAUAACAAUAACUGCCCAGUUGAAAAGAGAACAAGCUGCUGGGGGUACAAUCAAAAGAUGUCUGGGGUUCUGCAAAGAGUGAAUAUCAUACAUCAAACUUCUGAUUUCUGUAGCAAUCGCUAAUUUAUUCUUUUAUCAUUUCUAGUUCCUCCUUGAGUCACAGUCACCAGGCACAGCAAAGCUGCUGGAGUCCCUAAGUGGAGCAAAGCUAUUCAUGACACUUACUAACUGACUGUUAGAGAUCUGAAAGUGUGUUUUCUUCAAGCCAUAUGAAGGUUAUAUAAACACCCUGAACCUCAAAACUUUGAUUGCAUCUAGGUCUUCGGAUCACUCAGAUCCGUCUAUUUGUAUCUCAUUUCAAAGUGAGACAUUUCUAAAAACUAAGAUCAAGCCCCACAGCUCCCACUAUGCAAAGGGCCACAAUGAAAUGAGCAACCCUGGAAACUUUCAUCACCGUAAUCUCAACAAAUUCAGCAUGAUUCUGUUUAGCUAGAUCUUAACAAAGCCAGGUAAUACACAGGCAAAAUAACAUCAGCCCUGCGGCUUCAUUUACGGUAAUUGACAGGAUCCUCAUUAACUUUUUCAAUAACUCUUCGGGGACAAUUGUUUGUUUGCAUUUUCAUACAUUAAAGAUGGGGCGCACAUUAAAGCCUCAAGCUUGCUAAUAAUAGCUCUGGUUUUCAUUUAGUCUUUCAGCUUGCCAGCACAACAAAGACAUUUCUCACAGACUUAAUGUGGCAAGGAAUCGAGCAUGUGAUCCUCUUGAACAAUAAAUUUGCCCUCAACAAUAACAGCACUUUGAUUGGUUUGGGAGAAGAAAGCAGUGAAGUGUACACUCAUGGUCUGCUGUCACCGAAUAGUGAGGUCAGAUGAUUGUAAGUCAUGGCUUUAUAAGAUUAACUAAAUCAACAAGCUAUAAACUCAAUGAAGUGUGGAUUUCCCUGAAUGGAGAACUCAAUGAUCAUCUGUUUAUACAAAAAAAAGGUAUAAAAUGAAUAAAUAACUAAAAACUGAAGCAGCCAUUUGACAUCCAACUGCUACACUUUUAAGCUUUUUUUCAACUAAAAACCUUCCAUUUACAGUAAUUGAUGUUAACUGGUGCAUAAUGAAAACCAUGCUCUCCACACGGAACAGGAAGUUCAGUGGACUGAAUAUGUAGCUUGUAAAGUCAGCACACAUGCCCAGUCACAUGAAAUAUGAAUCAAGAAAGGAAACAUCUACAUGUGUUUUUCUGAAGAAAAAAGUCUACUUUGAUAGACUUGAGUCCUUGUGAAUAGCUAAUGAGAUGCGUGGGCUUUUGCUUCCACAGUUUCAGCCAUUAUUGUGCCCUAAUAUAUGAAAACAGUCUCUUCGAGGCAGGAGGAAGCUUCACACAUCCCAACAUGACUAUGUUCUAAAUAUUUUAGUAGGAUUUGCAGUGUUGCCAUGUAGCAGUUAAUGAUGGGCGAGGCUUUUCUUAACCGUUUCCAUGGUCUUCAAUGUUUUCUCUUCAGUUUUGGGACAGUCUCGCGGAAGAAAGACUUUGCUUAAACUUAAUGCAAACUCCCGCCAUGAAAACAGAAAUGAAAAAGAUAAAAACAGUCUCAAACAUUCUGGUAAGACGUUGGUGUCAAAGUUUAAUGAUGUAGACAUCAGAUCCUUUGUGUCUUGCCGUGACAAGAACAAUUAUUUACUCAUAUUUGAAUAUGGGCCGUAGCAGCACUAAAACACACCAACAAUAGAAAAUGCUUUCAAGCUCAAGGUGAGACCCAAUAUAUUGAUAAAUACUAAAAGCAUUGCCCUAAGGAGACUGAAUAAAACAGAAAGGACUCCUUUGCUGCUCAGUGAAAAUCUAUAAAGAAGCAGGUAGUUGUAGAAUGACAAUUUCUUUUUUUACUUUGGAUGCAAGUGAAAAAAAACUUUUCUGUUAUUGAAUCCUGUGAUUUAAACCACACACUGUAGGUUUAUCAGACUCCUAUCAAAUAGACAUAAUCGGUGUUGUGAACAUUUAUCUAAAUUAUGAAAAUAAUAGUUUCUAUCCUUAAACUGUAAGAAAAAGGGGAACACCUGCACACAAGGAACAUGCUGAAAGCAAAACUAAACUCUAUAAAUGAAUCCCUCUCUCUAUCGUCUCUAAAUAUGUUUCUUAUUGAUCACCCAUAAGUCUAUAUUUGCUCAGAAUUAAAGCGUUUGCAUCAGAAGCUGAACUGCUGGUAGAACACAAAUACCAAAAGAUCUGUUGUGCAAAGAAAAUCUAAAGCAUUUUCAGUUUUCUCCAAAUUAUGAUAAAAGAAAAAAAAAAACUUCACUGGUUGAAUAUACAAUAAUAUUUAAUUUUAUUUAAAGUCACUUUCCUCAACACUUAAAGACAAACUAAAAACAAUACAAUAAAAGCAAGCAAUGUAUACAGAACAAAGGAAGCUGAACAAUGCAAUAGAAAUAAUAUUAAAUAAUUAGAAAAUCAUUAUUAUUGAAUAGAAUAAGUCUUAAGUCUGAAUUUAAAGUGAGUGAAUUUUACAGAAAUCAGGGGGGAGUGUGUUCCAAAGAUGGGGAGCAGAGCAGCUGGAGGCCCUGCCCCCCAUGGUGCUGAGAUGGGCAGGAGGCACCAUGAAAUGGAUGGAAGACGACGACCUAAGGGAGCUGGAGUGUGUGGUGACAUGAAGGAGUUCUGAGAGGAAAAAGCGGUCCAGCAGCGCCUUUUGCCACCUAGAGUAUUUUUUCAUAUGCGAUUCAUAGACCUCAACCCAGAAAGCGGAACAAAAGCUGCAAACAGAAAAGUGACAUCAAAACCAACAGGACAACUUAUGGAAAACACUAGGACAGCAGUGAACCUGUGUGUCUCCAUUCUCCUCCAUUAUGCACCAGUGGAACUUUUAAAAUGCAACCCUUUGAUGAUUUCUGGAGAAGUUCAGGACUGAGAGCAACUCAGAACUCAUCCAUGUUGGUUUUGUUUGGCUGUUCACCAAGUCUUAAACUUGCCCAAAUGUUUAAGAUGUACUGUUGGCGUUCCAAUAAAGUUUUGAAAAAUAUGUAACUUCAGUAUUUGACAUUGCUGGAUCCCAUCCUUUCUUCAAAGGAAGAAAACGACAGACAUUUAGAAUUUUGACUGCAAGUUUUACA